Molecule: ribosomal RNA, 275 nt
Filed under: uncultured bacterium
Lineage: Bacteria
Description: partial 16S ribosomal RNA
Rfam family: Bacterial small subunit ribosomal RNA
Source: RNAcentral
GCGUGAGUGAAGAAGGCCUUCGGGUUGUAAAGCUCUUUCGAUAGUGAAGAUAAUGACGGUAGCUAUAGAAGAAGCCCCGGCUAAAUUCGUGCCAGCAGCCGCGGUAAUACGAAUGGGGCAAGCGUUGUUCGGAAUCACUGGGCUUAAAGCGUGCGUAGGCGGACAUGAAAGUCAGGAGUGAAAUCCCGGGGCUCAACCCCGGAAUUGCUUUUGAAACUCCAUGUCUGGAAUCCGGGAGGGGUUAGUGGAAUUCCGAGUGUAGAGGUGAAAUUCGC